RNAcentral lists this ribosomal RNA (470 nucleotides) under uncultured bacterium. Its description in RNAcentral is "partial 16S ribosomal RNA". It matches the Rfam family "Bacterial small subunit ribosomal RNA", at positions 28 to 507 of the family's 1533-position model. The record is from RNAcentral.
GACGAACGCUGGCGGCGUGCUUAACACAUGCAAGUCGAACGGUGAACGAGGGAGCUUGCUCCCUCCGGAUCAGUGGCGAACGGGUGAGUAACACGUGAGCAAUCUGCCCCGAACUCUGGGAUAAGCGUUGGAAACGACGUCUAAUACCGGAUACGACGCGGGAGGGCAUCCUCUCCGCGUGGAAAGAACUUCGGUUCGGGAUGAGCUCGCGGCCUAUCAGCUUGUUGGUGAGGUAACGGCUCACCAAGGCGACGACGGGUAGCCGGCCUGAGAGGGUGACCGGCCACACUGGGACUGAGACACGGCCCAGACUCCUACGGGAGGCAGCAGUGGGGAAUACUGCACAAUGGGCGAAAGCCUGAUGCAGCAACGCCGCGUGAGGGACGACGGCCUUCGGGUUGUAAACCUCUUUUAGCAGGGAGGAAGCGAAAGUGACGGUACCUGCAGAAAAAGCACCGGCUAACUACGUG